UACGAAGGGGGCUAGCGUUGCUCGGAAUCACUGGGCGUAAAGCGCACGUAGGCGGAUCUUUAAGUCAGGGGUGAAAUCCUGGAGCUCAACUCCAGAACUGCUUUUGAUACUGAGGAUCUUGAGUCCGGGAGAGGUGAGUGGAACUCCGAGUGUAGAGGUGAAAUUCGUAGAUAUUCGGAAGAACACCAGUGGCGAAGGCGGCUCACUGGCCCGGUACUGACGCUGAGGUGCGAAAGCGUGGGGAGCAAACAGG
RNAcentral lists this ribosomal RNA (253 nucleotides) under uncultured bacterium. Its description in RNAcentral is "partial 16S ribosomal RNA". It matches the Rfam family "Bacterial small subunit ribosomal RNA", at positions 524 to 776 of the family's 1533-position model. The record is from RNAcentral.